RNAcentral lists this transfer RNA (67 nucleotides) under Marmota monax (woodchuck). Its description in RNAcentral is "tRNA.Ala". Lineage: Eukaryota; Metazoa; Chordata; Mammalia; Rodentia; Sciuridae. The record is from RNAcentral.
GGUCAUGGCUCAGUGGUAGAGUGCUUGUCUAGCACAUGUGAGGCACUGGGUUUGAUUCUCAGCACCA